This 319-nucleotide ribosomal RNA is filed under the name Triticum aestivum (bread wheat). Its description in RNAcentral is "partial small subunit ribosomal RNA". Lineage: Eukaryota; Viridiplantae; Streptophyta; Magnoliopsida; Poales; Poaceae. The record is from RNAcentral.
AUGAAGGGGACGCCGCGCCUGAAAACCUAGCCACCGCUGAGGGUCGGGAGCGAGCGUGGGAGGCCUCUAGCGACCGACCUGGAGGGAUGGGAGGAAGUAGCGGGGCGAGGGGAGGUCUUUGGUCUGCCACACGCCACCGGGGCUCGCCGGAAUCGGCCGUCGUGAGUGGUGGCGGCGGCGAGGAGUCCGGGGCGACAGAGAUCUCGUGAGAGAGGAGACGAGAGGAGACUUGCGCGUGAGAGCAGGAUCGAUCGGUGGAUGCGGUUUUUACUCUUUCCCUUCGGCACAGUAAAAUUGACGUGGCAUAGACGAGGCGGCG